CCAAAAUUGAGAACCUCUAAGUCUCCACACCAAGGAGAGAUUGGAGAAGAAAUGAGUGACCUUGGAGUAAUAGUAUGGCUAGAUACCCCCUCCAAGGGGCCGGCCUCUUUAGAGAGAAAAGGAGAGACAAGUUCUCACCAAUUUUCUCCAAAGGAAACCCUAAUGAAUUUUGGCUAUAAAGUCAUAUUUAUACCUUUAUUCAUUUGAGUGGCCAACUUGUAAUUAAAGCAAGUUCACUACCCUUCCUCUAAAUGGCCGGCCAUGGGGUUUUGUUUGGGCUUUUAGGCCUUUGUGAAUUACGUUGUCAUACAACUUAAGUCAAUGACUUGACGUUCGAAGCCCAUUGGGCCUUGAGGCCCAAAACUAUCCCGAGGUCUUUAACGAACUUAUUCGUUUGAUUAAUUAACAUAUUAAUUAAUCCUUGCCAUAAAUAAUUAAACCAUUUAAUUAUUCUUACUCAUCUCCAUUGUUUCUUCAAUCUCCACCUUACACGGUGUACGAUCCAUUAGGUUCCUUUUAGCGAUGCAGUGGGCGAUUAAAACCAUUUUACAUCGAUUGUGAAUUGAAACUUACUUUCAAUUCUCCCUUUAGUGAUUACACACGUUUAGGGCUUCCACAAACCAUGAGUGACACCUAGCAGCAUAUCAUGGUUACCCAAGCUAAUCAGAAGAGGUGGAGAACCUAUUCAGUUUAGGAUUACAAAUGCAAUACGGUCUUUCUCUAAUCUAAUACUCUUGACCACAUUGUUUGGUUUGAUAGUUUAUUUAUUCAUGUCUACUAUCCAAUGUGAUUCGUGUGCUUAUAUGAUUACCUUGAAUGUGAUUUGGAACGCUUUCCUAAAUCUCAUUCAUACUCUGGCCAGAGAUUCUAAAUCAUAUCAUAGAGUAUUCUCCCUCAAACGGAUUUGAAGGUUAGAGAUCCCUUGUUGCGCAUUCACUUGUCUCCAUGGACUAAGUGGCUUAACCCCUAACGAUGUCGUGGACACCCCGAUGGGGGUGACUUUGACAUAAUCAAAGAUCAAGGACUUAACCACAAGACAACUGUGAUGCCUCAGGUCAAAGGACUACUUUGCAUUAUCCCAACCAUGAGUUCUCAUGUGACAUGAAUAUGAGAACUCUUCGUUGAUCGUGUUCAGUGAACUCAUUCUCUAUUGAGCACCUACGUACUUGUCUUGAUGUCACACACACCAAUGACUCGAGACUAGUCACUCUCCCUGAGAGAAGACACAGCACGUACUGAUCUUAACGGACUGUCAAUGCCCAAUUGGCAAUCCUAUGAUCAGGAACGUUUAGGAUGUGUCUACGAAAGAAUGGUCUCAUGAAUCUAACUUCUUUAGAUUGCAUUCUCCCAAUCACAUAUUCCUUGGACUUAUCGUUUAAGCAUAUAACAUUUAUAUGAGACGGCUUAAAACAAUAAUCUUUGCCCUUGAUAUUAAACUAGAUUAGUUUAACAUGUGAAAUGUCCGUAAAGUAUCAUCAUAUGAUUGGUUUUAGGGCACAUUUCCAACAAUCUCCCACUUGCACUAGAGCCAAUCAGCUUGGUCAUCAGUGAUGAUACCUCUUCUGUAGUCAUUUCAUAAAUGGCUGAGUAGUAGGCCUAGACAAUGGAUAUCUAUAUGUUAUCCAUAGAAGCAACCUUGAGAAUAACGACGUCACCAUUAUACAUGAUUCUCAAUCAUGUGGUUCAGUCUCUCAUUUGAGUUCGGAUCUUGAUGAGACCUUGAUUCCCUGGCUUGAGCUAUCGCCCCAUUAGUGUCAUACACUUUCUGGUUGGAACCGAAUAGAGAGUUCAUAAAUGAACUUUCCCAUCCAAACAACAUUGUUGUAAACUUCUAUAUGGCAAUAUAUUUUGCAUUCAUAAUGGAACACACUAAAGUCAUUACUUUAAUGUUUCCAUCCAAAUAUCUCUUUAGUCAUAAUAAAGAGAUAUUUGUUUAUCUCUUCAUUCAUAAAGAAGAAACAUCCAAUGAUGGAUUAGAUUCAUAAUCUAAUACAUUUACGCUUCCAUUACGUUACUCUAAUUCUUCCUCAUUCUUUGAGGAAUCUAUCCUUUAGUAUUUCUUAAAUACUUAAGGAUUCACUUGACAGUUGCCAUGGUUCUGAUCCUGGGCUUGCACUGAUAUCGUCUUGUACCGUUCUAGGUACAACUCAUAUCAAUGUUUUUCAUACAAUAUGAAAUACAUAAAUCACCUUUCUGCGCUUAUGCAUAAAGGAUUCUAUUUACGCAUUAUUUCUUUGGGAGUCAAAGGGUACGUUCCCUUUGAGAAGAGCAACAUCUUAGUCUCACUAAAGUUGUCCUCUUGAUUGAAGUUUAUCAUCAUAUGAGAAACUUCCUAGCAUCUCUUGUCUAUUAUUAGGGAUUGAUAUAAUCAAAUUAUAUCCUAAAAUCUAUCAUUAUAGAUUUCCAUCCCAUGUAUAUAGACUAUGUCUCCCAUAUACAUUAUAUCUUCAUAUAAUGUUUUAAAGUCAUAACUUUAACGAAGAAGUAUUCUUUUCAUUUCCAAAAUUAAUAUAUCAUAUAUAUUUAAAUUUUAGGAACAUGAUUAACUCCCAUAUACAUUCUAUCUUCAUAUAAUGUAUUAAAGUCAUAACUUUAACGAAGAAGUAUUCAUUUCAUUUCCAAAAUUAAUAUAUCAUAUAUAUUUUUAAAUUUUAGGAACAUGAUUAACUCCCACUAAUCUUUUGUAAACCUAGUAAACAAAAGAUUCAUUUACAUCUUUAUGAGAAAUCAAACGAUUUGAUCCUUUUUCUCAUAAGAUGCUUAUAGCUCCCACUAGCUUGCUAAGAUUCAUGAUGGAUGGAUGGAUCUCUACAACUUACAUGUCUUGUGAUUUAUAGUUUUAGACAUAUAUUAUCAAGACUAUCUUAAUAAUGGUUUCGGAAACCCAUAUUAUGUCCAAACAUUGAAUCACCAUUUAGUUGUAGCUAGCAAUCUUCGAAUUAAUUGAAACCAAGACUAUCUCAAAGAUGGUUUCUUCAAAGUCAACCAUUCUCUUUGAUUGUAGUCACCUUAAGCUACCAAUUAGCUUAUGAAGGUUUCAUUAUUUCGGGUCAAAUGGUACUUUACCAUUUCCUUGAGUAUAUAUAUCGUAUAUACACUCAAUGUAGUCAUAAGGAUUUUCAUUCUUAUUUCUUUCGAAUUAAGAGGUGCAACUCUAUGACAUAGUCAUAAAGUUCAAACCAUUCAACUGAGACGGUUUAUAAAUCCUUCUCGACUACCUUGGAGCUUUGUGGUAUAGGAACUAGGUUGUUAUAUAUUUGUUGAUUAUUAUCUUGUCUCUCAAAGAACCCAUUCUUUGAGUUCUAUCUCUCGUUCAUUUGCUUUAGGCAAAUCACAUUGUAGGAUUACAAUGAACUACCCAACAAAACAACAUUUGUUAGUUGGUUUAUAGAAGCGAUAUCCAAAAGUUAAUUUAAGGAUAUCCCACAAGAAUUGUUAAUCAAACAAAUAUUGCUUAUUAGCACACAACCCCAAAUCUUAACAUGCUUAAGAUUUGUCUUUCUUUCCAACUACAUCUUAUGGAGUCAUGAAAAAAUUUGGAAGAUCUUCUAAUUGACAAUCAUAUUGUUUUAGAAGUAUAUAUCCUAUAUAUGGGUAAUAGAUAACAUCUAACGAACUAAAUCUUAUUCAAGUUCGUUCUUCUCCUAAUGGAGAAAUUCAUUAUCUUAUGAUGCUUCUUUCCUUGAUAUCUUUCAAGGAAACUCAUCUAAAGUGUUACCUUUUCCUUGGAUCAAAUCUAAGGAGGUAAAUACUUUAGACGUCUUACUCAUCAACUUACAUUUCUUGAAUUCUUUGAAACCUUUUGCAAAGUAUUCGGACUUGUGUUUAUUCAAAAUAAACUAUAGUCCAACCGAGAGUGAUCUUCGGUGAAUGUCAUACAACAUGAGUAGUAUUAUGUUGUGGACAAGUGCCACUAACAUCUAAGUGAAUUAACCUCAACAACUUUGUGAUUCUUUCUUCUUUCCAAAAGAAUAAAGAUUCAAACAUUUCGCCUCUAUACAAUUUUAACAAGAAGGUAUUGGAUCCGGAUCUAACGAUCCAAAGCAUCCAUCUUUGACCAACUCGUAAUUUAUGUUUUAGAGGUAUCACAACUUAGUUAGGAUUAGUCACUACCUUGCAACCCUUUUGGGUUUUAAGCAUCAUUAUAUUCUAAACAGUUAACACUACCAUAUCAUCUCUACUAUAGAGACAAUCAAUUAGAUUACUAUAAUCCAAUCAUUCAUUAAUAAAGAACAAUGUUUUGUCAAACAAAACAUUCAUCCAUUCUCUACUAUAGUGACGGAAUUAAAUUCCUUAAAAUUGGAAUGUAAAGACAAUCUUUGGUUUUUCCAAUUUCUUUGGUAGUUCAUAUGAGGAAGUAAGUACUAUCUGCUUUCGCAGAGAUCUAUAUUUUAUUCACGUUCCGAAUGUGAAGCACCUUUUCUUCUCUCAUAUAUCUUCUACUUCUUAUUAGUCACACUUUUACAAACGAUUGUAAAAACAUAGUUACUAAUACGGAAUCAAGCAUUCAAGUAGAAGAACCAACUGUUUUGAACUAUUCAAGAACAAUUUACAACACCUUCGAAAGGUGUGUUCUUGACACUUGCAAGACAUUUCUUGCAAAUACCCCUUCCAAUGUCCAUCCUUUCAUAAAGAAAGUUUGUUCCCUUGGAGUUAUUUUAUCUUCUUUAUUUGACUUUCACCUUUGACUACAAUUAGUCAUGGUCCCUAAACUCCCACUAUCUCUCUUGGAACUUAUUUCAAUUGUGUUAUACACAUCAAACAUUUUGGAGAGCAUGUGGUUUAUUGUUCACUACAUAUAGUUUACAAUAAACUUAGUGAACCAUUAGGAUAGGGACACAAAGGUGAAGUCCUUGCCUAGUUUCCGUCUCGUUAAGUGGUUUAACACUUCAACACUCAAUGAUUCAAAAUCAUCAUAAGUCCAUGUUGAUGGACUAUUUUUGUCAACCAACCAUUAUGUUCUAAACAUAAUUACAAACUUUCAAGAGUUGUUCAAGGCAACUCUCAUUUCUUCAUACAACAAUUUGUAAGUGAAGAAUCAUGGCACACAUUAAGUGUCCAUGCCCUUUGUGCUUUCUUCUCAAGUUCUUUGUUCAUUGUAACAAAGAAACAAGCACUAAGUGUUUGCAUUGACUAAGGGUUGUUCAAAGCAACUCUUUAUUUCUUCAUACAACAAAUUUGUAAUUGAAGAAUUAUGACAUUAAAAGUGUUGUCCUCUUUAUGAUAGACUUUUCUCCUUCUUCUAAUGAAAUAUUAUCUAAGGAAGAUUUGGAUAGAUUUGAGACUUUGACUUAGGUACAUAUAGACACUUUAGACAAUCUUAUUUGGGAUUGUUGUACCAAGUCCGGAAACUAAAGCAUUCGGCUUUUCUUUGUCAAGUUUUGGAUAGCGUUUGCAAAUAUAUUGGUAAACAAAUACAUAACGAAUAUAAAAUUGAUUGAUUUUUAAGCCAUUUGAUUCCGGGUCUUUAAAUCAAAUUCACCACCCACUAUUUUUGGCAAAUUCCAUAUCCCUCAUUCGAGUUUUUGGAGGAAACUCUUUAUGGGAGACUCACUUACCAAGCCCACCUCAGAAGAAAAUCAUUGGAUGGCUAGCAACGUUAAUAAUAAUGAGAGAGAGUACGCUUACUCAUUACCAAGCCACCUCACUUGAAUACCUAUUGGCUAGCAUUAAUAAUUAUGAGAGAGUACGCUUACUCAUUUGCCUCUUGCAAGUACCCAUCUUAUUUGGCCUCUAGAGAAUAUUCAUAUGAUAUUGGCACCAUUGCACUUAGUUAAGUCAUUCCAGGGGUUCAAGAAUGGCCUCAGAAGAAUAUCAUAUUGCCACACUCGUUGCCUACCUUUCACUUCAUCAUAUGUGUAUAGGCUUCCUCCUGAAUGUAAGCACAUACUUUGCAACCCCAUGAACUAGGGUGAAUAGCCGGUGUAUGAGUCACAAACGAUUGGAAGCCCACCACGGUGGAAGGCCACGAAAGAGUGUUCAAAGCACUCUCACGCUUAUCAACUUAAUAAUGGUUUGGUUGAGGGUUUUAGGUCUCAUCACAUAUAAAUAUUCAUUUUAAUCUCUAUUAAAACAAUUUUGGUCCUAUUACAACUAUUGGUCCAUUGAUUGUUUUAGUUGUAUAUAAUACUCCCACUAUGCUUAUAAAACGGUUUUUAAAGCAAGAGUAUAUGAUACUACUAACAUAAACUUUGCAUUCAUUUGAUGGACUAUAUAGUUGCCUUAGGGCCUUAGGAUGACUAUGAACCUUUGUUUAGAUUCAACACGAGCCUUAGUGUUGAAUCUCGGUCUAGGGAUGGUGAUUGAUUUUAGUUACGCGUUUAAUCACAUUAAGGCGUGUUGUCUUAGGGGCGUUGGACCCAACUACUUCAUUUUCAUGCAUAUCAAAUAAAGCAAGAAAGAAGUACUUCAAAGUAAAGGUGAGCUUAUGCUCAUUACAACAUUUGCAUAAAACAAAUUACUUUAAAGUAAGAAGAGCUUAAUGCCCUUUUACAACAUUUGAUCAAAUCAAAUUACAACCAAAAUCUAAUCUACACAUUCCCAUGGUUCAAACAAAUUUGAAACGGCCUUUCACAUAGCUCAAUUAUAUUAGGCUUAGGUUCAUAAUCACCCUUUAAUUAAUUAACACUUUAACUAAUUAAAUUGAAUGCAACAUUUUCAUUUGGUUUUUGUAUCCAUAAAAUUGAUUUAAAUGGAGCUAAAUGAAAUGAAAAUCCAAUUCUCAUUUAAAGAGACAAAACAAUUUUGUUCUCAACCUAAUUUGGGCCAAAAUGCAAUUAACCACAACUUUUGGGCAUAUUGCAAAAACAUAAACUUUUGGGGUCACUUUGUAAAACACAAAAGUCCACUACUUCAUGUAAUUACAACUAGAACCCAAAAAUUUAAAACAAUGCAAAAACUUCAUUAAAGGAGCAAAACAAUUUGUCCUUUAGCGUUUUUGGACCUAAACGUAAAAACGUAAACUUUUGGGCCAAAGUGCAAAUACACAAAAGUAUCAAAACUUUAUGUAAUUGCAUAAAAGCCCCAAAAGUACUCCCACUUGAGGGAGGGCCGGUUUUGGAGAAGGAUUAGAGUGAUGUGUGUGUUGAUUUGUGAGUUUUGACAUAAAGCAAUCAAGUGGUGCAAGUGGUGUGUGUGAAAGGGAAUUAAUCCUUUCACACCCAUCAUAAUAUCUCUUACAUCUCUUACACCAUUUAAACAAAUAUCUAAUGCAAUUAAACAUUUGAAAAACAUAAAACAUAAACUUUAUGAAAUAAAUCAAAACUUUGAAUCAAAACACAAAACUUUUUGUUCUUGGCAAAAAUGUCAAGAACAAUGAAGAACAUUCAUGAAAAACUCAAAAAUUUCCAUGAACAUUUUUCACCCAAAAACAUUCCAAAACCAUUCAAACUUUAGGGAAAUAACAUCUAACCAAACUAGGGUACAUAGGGGUUCCAAAAGUCACUUGAAAACACUUUUAACAAGUCAAACAAGAACCCAAAAAUCCACCCUUUGGAUUUGGCCGAAAAUUCCCAAAAUCAUGGCACCAAAUUUUAGCUCCAAUAUUCAUGCUCAUAUGAACUACAUCUACAACAUUUGAGAUGGCAAAUUUUCUAACAAAAUUUACAUUCAAAGAAACAAGAAUAAAGCUUGUAACAUAUUACAACUUUUAAAUCACAAACUAUGAACUACAAAACCCAAAAGGAUUCACCAACUACUAGACCUAGGCUCUGAUACCACUUGAAGGAAUUAUUUUGUGAAAACAUGUUCAUUUGAGCAACAUCAUAUAGCAUGCAAUUAACAAUUAAAGGCGGAAUCAUGCUUGCAUGCAUUCAAAAACAAAACAUUAACCAUGAAAUUCAAAGCCUAGUAGAUUGGUGAACCAAGACUCAACUCAAAACAAAGUGAGUUGAAAUUAUACCUUUGUAGAUUCCUCUUUGCAUAAGCAAAGGCUAAUCACCCAAAGAGAGGGCCUUCAUUCCUUGCAUCUUAAAAUCUAUGGAUUUGGAUGGAAUGAAAUAGGUUUCUCCAAGUUCCCAAAAUUGAGAACCUCUAAGUCUCCACACCAAGGAGAGAUUGGAGAAGAAAUGAGUGACCUUGGAGUAGUAGGAUUGCUAGAUACCCCCUCCAAGGUGGCCGGCCUCUUUAGAGAGAAAAUGGAGAGACAAGUUCUCACCAAUUUUCUCCAAAGGAAACCCUAAUGAAUUUUGGCUAUAAAGUCAUAUUUAUACCUUUAUUCAUUUGAGUGGCAAACUUAUAAUUAAAGCAAGUUCACUACCCUUCCUCUAAAUGGCCGGCCAUGGGGUUUUGUUUGGGCUUUUAGGCCUUUGUGAAUUACGUUGUCAUACAACUUAAGUCAAUGGACUUGACGUUCGAAGCCCAUUGGGCCUUGAGGCCCAAAACU
Molecule: long non-coding RNA, 8383 nt
Filed under: Malus domestica (apple)
Lineage: Eukaryota; Viridiplantae; Streptophyta; Magnoliopsida; Rosales; Rosaceae
Description: long non-coding RNA (MDOM_LNC008485)
Source: RNAcentral